RNAcentral lists this ribosomal RNA (254 nucleotides) under uncultured bacterium. RNAcentral describes it as "partial 16S ribosomal RNA". It matches the Rfam family "Bacterial small subunit ribosomal RNA", at positions 1238 to 1500 of the family's 1533-position model. The record is from RNAcentral.
UACAGAGAGAAGCCAGGUGGCGACACCGAGCGGAACUCGAAAGCCNGUCUCAGUUCGGAUCGGAGUCUGCAACCCGACUCCGUGAAGCUGGAUUCGCUAGUAAUCGCGCAUCAGCCAUGGCGCGGUGAAUACGUUCCCGGGCCUUGUACACACCGCCCGUCAAGCCAUGGAAGCCGGGAGUGCCUGAAGUAUGCAACCGCAAGGAGCGUCCUAAGGUAAAACCGGUGACUGGGGCUAAGUCGUAACAAGGUAGC